This 85-nucleotide transfer RNA is filed under the name Felis catus (domestic cat). It matches the Rfam family "tRNA". Rfam says of the family: Transfer RNA (tRNA) molecules are approximately 80 nucleotides in length. Lineage: Eukaryota; Metazoa; Chordata; Mammalia; Carnivora; Felidae. The record is from Rfam by way of RNAcentral.
GCCUGGGUGGCUCAGUCGGUUAAGCGUCCGACUUCGGCUCAGGUCAUGACCUCGCGGUCUGUGAGUUCAAGCCCCGCCUCGGGCU